Molecule: ribosomal RNA, 433 nt
Filed under: Isthmohyla graceae
Lineage: Eukaryota; Metazoa; Chordata; Amphibia; Anura; Hylidae
Description: partial 12S ribosomal RNA
Source: RNAcentral
UGGUCCUGACCUUGUCAUCAAUUAUUACUUAACUUAUACAUGCAAGUCUCCGCACUCCUGUGAGAACGCCCUUAAUUUUCUUCUAGAAAUAAGGAGCUGGUAUCAGGCACAACCCUCAGCCCAAAACACCUAGCUUUGCCACAUCCACAAGGAAAUUCAGCAGUAAUUAACAUUGAGUAUAAGCGCCAGCUUGACUCAGUCAAAGUAAAAAGAGCCGGCAAAUAUGGUGCCAGCCGCCGCGGUUACACCACUAGACUCAAAUUGAUUACUUUCGGCGUAAAGCGUGAUUAAAGUUAAUUAAUAAUUAUAGUUGUAUUUUAACUAAGCCGUGACACGCUUGUUUACAAGAAACCCAAAAACGAAAGUUACUAUAUUUUUAACAACUUGAACCCACGACAGCUGGGACACAAACUGGGAUUAGAUACCCCACUAU